This 108-nucleotide transfer RNA is filed under the name Candidatus Woesearchaeota archaeon. Its description in RNAcentral is "tRNA-Gln". Lineage: Archaea; Nanobdellati; Candidatus Woesearchaeota. The record is from RNAcentral.
AGCCCCGUAGUCUAGCGGUCAAGGAUAUUCGGCUCUGGACCGGAUGACCACGGUUCGAAAUGGUCUGGGAUGAAAAAGUUCCCUGCCACGCACUUCCGUGCGGGGCUU